This is a non-coding RNA of Acanthosepion pharaonis, 111 nucleotides long. Lineage: Eukaryota; Metazoa; Mollusca; Cephalopoda; Sepiida; Sepiidae. The record is from the annotation of a GenBank genome assembly.
GGGCCAUAUCACUUUGAAACACCAGUUCUCAUCUGAUCACCAAAGUUAAGCAAUGUAGAGCCUGGUCAGUAUCUAGCUGGGUAACUGCUUGAGAAUAUCAGGUGCUGUAAG